Molecule: ribosomal RNA, 301 nt
Filed under: uncultured bacterium
Lineage: Bacteria
Description: partial 16S ribosomal RNA
Rfam family: Bacterial small subunit ribosomal RNA
Source: RNAcentral
CAGUAGCCGCGGGAACACGAAGGGUGCAAGCGUUACUCGGAAUUACUGGGCGUAAAGCGUGCGUAGGUGGUGGUUUAAGUCCGUUGUGAAAGCCCUGGGCUCAACCUGGGAAUUGCAGUGGAUACUGGGUCACUAGAGUGUGGUAGAGGAUAGUGGAAUUUCCGGUGUAGCAGUGAAAUGCGUAGAGAUCGGAAGGAACAUCUGUGGCGAAGGCGACUAUCUGGGCCGACACUGACACUGAGGCACGAAAGCGUGGGGAGCAAACAGGAUUAGAUACCCCGGUAGUCCCUGUCUCUUAUAC